Ornithodoros turicata is the source of this 1605-nucleotide long non-coding RNA. RefSeq lists it as uncharacterized. NCBI's taxonomy places the organism in Eukaryota, Metazoa, Arthropoda, Arachnida, Ixodida, Argasidae. The transcript has 2 exons. The record is from RefSeq and is a predicted model, not a curated record.
UGCGGUGACCGUUUAUGGUGUUCAUGCGUGUACGUAAAUGCAGAAGAAUCUGAGUUUCACAAUGGGUGAGUGAAAAGUAUGAAGGUAAUGAGUCAGGAAGGAUUGAUUACGAAUGUUUGUAUUUGUGUUGUGAAAUAGAAAGUUGCGCUGUUUCGUUUGUGCUUAUGUGCAUGCGUUCGUGUAGUGCAGAUCCCCUUGUGUUUUGUGUUGACAAAAUGACAAGAUCGAUGGCAUUUUCCACUGACGUGUGAAAAGCAGCUGUUCAACGCGCUCCUUCGUCAGCUUGCUCGACAUCUCAGACUCGGCUAGCACUACUGUGCGAACAGUGAGCAGGGUGAAGAUACUGAUACAUAAUAUCAAGUUGCGAGUGCGCUCUCAAAUAUUUCAGAACAUGCCCAGGACGCACAGGACAGAGUAAUUAUAGCUUUUUCGCUGCUUCUAACAGUGCGAUCAAGAAACAUAGCAUAUUCAGGUAUGACUUGCUUAGUUCUGUGUCUCAAUAGGAAAUGCUAGCCUGACUAAGGCUGACAAAUUUCCACAUUGUGUGUUCCUCAAAUGAAGCACAAAAUUUUCGGCAUCAAGCUAUUUAACUGUACUUACAAUGCCAUUAAUUUCGUUAUCUCCCAACGCUGAUGUUACCGAGGUUUGCUUCUAGGGUAAUUUCGUUUAAUAGGCAGGCUGAUUCGGGCGUAGCCUGUUCUAUUGCCUAAAGAAGUGACUAGUCUGUUCAGCUUCUCUAUACUUAUUUGUUGUCGAUAAAAGUGUGAGAUGGCUGAUGGGUUUCUUCACUUUCACCGUAGAAUUUUCUGGUGAAGAACCAAAGCUUUUAACAUUUGAGGAUACCAGAAAGGCAAGUUGGUGUUCCAACUUCGUGAUAAUAGACUUGAGCGAGGAGCAAAUUUGACUUUGAACAUUUCUCUAACAGAAGCUCAUUUCUCCGGGCAGCAGCGACUGCUGCGAAAAAAAUUGCUCUUCGAGGUCCCAUAUUUACGUGAAAAGAUGAGUGACGUGGCCUGCUAAUCAGUUUCACCUGAGAAACUGAGAAUUUUACGAGCGCUCAUGAAGGACAAAGUAGCAACCUCCUCCAGCUCGCAGUGAGGCAAGGGGACGAUGAAGUUCUGCGACCUGUUAUGCUGUGAUGCACUGUAAUGCCAAACCGGCUGCUCAAGGACGUGACCCGCAGUAAAGGAGAGCAGCACAUAAAGUCCUGGCUUAGGCACGCCAAAGAACCUCAUGACAGGACGUCGACAAAAGAUAAGGGCUCGGAGUUCUACACAGAACAGCAGCGACAGCUGGGCCAAUCCGUGCGAAACUCUUCAGGCCUAGCUUUGAGCCUAGAUUUCACGAGAGAAAAAAAUGUGCAUUCUCUGAGAGUGUGGUAGAUACACAUUUCUUUCCUCUGUAUAUUUGGCUCCAGACUGAGGGCUAUGCAGGUGUUGCCUUCAAAAUGAAAAGUGUUAUGCCAUUGUCAUCUCCAUGCAAUACACAUCGACAAUAUUAAUGGGUUUUCGUUAAUGUAUAAUGUUGGACAAAAAAAAUUCAGCUCAUGAAACAGAAGGUGGGAUUAUCUUAAAGUUUAUUCUGUGUAGAGAGCUCGGGAGCAGA